CGAAAUGCGAUACGUAGUGUGAAUUGCAGAAUUCAGUGAAUCAUCGAAUCUUUGAACGCACAUUGCGCCCUUUGGUAUUCCAAAGGGCAUGCCUGUUCGAGCGUCAUUUGUACCCUCAAGCUUUGCUUGGUGUUGGGCGUCUUUUGUCUUUGGCCUCGCCCAAAGACUCGCCUUAAAACGAUUGGCAGCCGGCCUACUGGUUUCGCAGCGCAGCACAUUUUUGCGCUUGCAAUCAGCACAAGGACGGCAAUCCAUCAAGACUACAUUUUUACGUUUGACCUCGGAUCAGGUAGGGAUACCCGCUGAACUUAAGC
Molecule: unclassified non-coding RNA, 314 nt
Filed under: plant metagenome
Description: partial contains 5.8S ribosomal RNA, internal transcribed spacer 2, and large subunit ribosomal RNA
Rfam family: 5.8S ribosomal RNA (bases 1-106)
Source: RNAcentral